AUUGAACGCUGGCGGCAGGCCUAACACAUGCAAGUCGAACGGUAACAGGAAGAAGCUUGCUUCUUUGCUGACGAGUGGCGGACGGGUGAGUAAUGUCUGGGAAACUGCCUGAUGGAGGGGGAUAACUACUGGAAACGGUAGCUAAUACCGCAUAACGUCGCAAGACCAAAAAGGGGGACCUUCGGGCCUCUUGCCAUCGGAUGUGCCCAGAUGGGAUUAGCUAGUAGGUGGGGUAACGGCUCACCUAGGCGACGAUCCCUAGCUGGUCUGAGAGGAUGACCAGCCACACUGGAACUGAGACACGGUCCAGACUCCUACGGGAGGCAGCAGUGGGGAAUAUUGGACAAUGGGCGCAAGCCUGAUGCAGCCAUGCCGCGUGUAUGAAGAAGGCCUUCGGGUUGUAAAGUACUUUCAGUGGGGAGGAAGGGAGGAAAGUUAAUACCUUUGCUCAUUGACGUUACCCGCAGAAGAAGCACCAGCUAACUCCGUG
RNAcentral lists this ribosomal RNA (490 nucleotides) under uncultured bacterium. RNAcentral describes it as "partial 16S ribosomal RNA". It matches the Rfam family "Bacterial small subunit ribosomal RNA", at positions 30 to 507 of the family's 1533-position model. The record is from RNAcentral.